UGGGGAAUCUUGCGCAAUGCGCGAAAGCGUGACGCAGCAACGCCGCGUGAGGGAAGACGGCCUUCGGGUUGUAAACCUCUUUCAGUUGGGACGAAGCCUCGGCGGUGAACAGCCGCUCGAGGGGACGGUAACUUCAGAAGAAGCCCCGGCUAACUACGGGCCAGCAGCCGCGGUAAUACGUAGGGGGCAAGCGUUGUCCGGAAUCAUUGGGCGGAAAGAGCGGGUAGGCGGGCCGGUAAGUCCGGUGUGAAAGUGAAGGGCUCAACCCUUGGAAGCCGGUGGAUACUGGAGGGCUAGAGUCCGGAAGGGGCGAGUGGAAUUCCUGGUGUAGCGGUGAAAUGCGCAGAUAUCAGGAGGAACACCUAUGGCGAAGGCAGCUCGCUGGGACGGUACUGACGCUGAGGCGCGAAAGCGUGGGGAGCAAACAGG
Molecule: ribosomal RNA, 429 nt
Filed under: Bacillota bacterium
Lineage: Bacteria; Bacillati; Bacillota
Description: Firmicutes bacterium partial 16S ribosomal RNA
Rfam family: Bacterial small subunit ribosomal RNA
Source: RNAcentral